Molecule: ribosomal RNA, 253 nt
Filed under: uncultured bacterium
Lineage: Bacteria
Description: partial 16S ribosomal RNA
Rfam family: Bacterial small subunit ribosomal RNA
Source: RNAcentral
UACGUAGGGGGCGAGCGUUGUCCGGAGUUACUGGGCGUAAAGCGCACGCAGGCGGUCUGCUAAGUUUGGAGUGACAGUUGGUGGCUUAACUGCCAAAGUGCUUCGAAAACUGACAGACUUGAGGGCUUCAGAGGGACACGGAAUUCCGGGUGGAGUGGUGAAAUGCGUAGAGAUCCGGAGGAACACCAAAGGUGAAGGCAGUGUCCUGGGGAGUACCUGACGCUCAGGUGCGAAAGCCAGGGGAGCGAACGGG